GCAGUGCUGGCUCAGUGCUUACAGCUCUGGACUACCGAUCGGAAGGUUGUGAGUUCAAAUCUCAGUACUGCU
This is a non-coding RNA of Pangasius djambal, 72 nucleotides long. Lineage: Eukaryota; Metazoa; Chordata; Actinopteri; Siluriformes; Pangasiidae. The record is from the annotation of a GenBank genome assembly.